RNAcentral lists this ribosomal RNA (497 nucleotides) under uncultured bacterium. Its description in RNAcentral is "partial 16S ribosomal RNA". It matches the Rfam family "Bacterial small subunit ribosomal RNA", at positions 28 to 507 of the family's 1533-position model. The record is from RNAcentral.
GAUGAACGCUGGCGGCGUGCCUAAUACAUGCAAGUCGAGCGAACGGACGAGAAGCUUGCUUCUCUGAUGUUAGCGGCGGACGGGUGAGUAACACGUGGAUAACCUACCUAUAAGACUGGGAUAACUUCGGGAAACCGGAGCUAAUACCGGAUAAUAUUUUGAACCGCAUGGUUCAAAAGUGAAAGACGGUCUUGCUGUCACUUAUAGAUGGAUCCGCGCUGCAUUAGCUAGUUGGUAGGGUAACGGCUUACCAAGGCAACGAUGCAUAGCCGACCUGAGAGGGUGAUCGGCCACACUGGAACUGAGACACGGUCCAGACUCCUACGGGAGGCAGCAGUAGGGAAUCUUCCGCAAUGGGCGAAAGCCUGACGGAGCAACGCCGCGUGAGUGAUGAAGGCCUUCGGAUCGUAAAACUCUGUUAUUAGGGAAGAACAUAUGUGUAAGUAACUGUGCACAUCUUGACGGUACCUAAUCAGAAAGCCACGGCUAACUACGUG